GGAUUUAGCUCAGUGGUAGAGUGCUUGCCUAGCAAGCACAAGGCCCUGGGUUCGGUCCCCAGAUCCG
RNAcentral lists this transfer RNA (67 nucleotides) under Rattus norvegicus (Norway rat). It matches the Rfam family "tRNA". From Rfam's summary of the family: Transfer RNA (tRNA) molecules are approximately 80 nucleotides in length. Their secondary structure includes four short double-helical elements and three loops (D, anti-codon, and T loops). Further hydrogen bonds mediate the characteristic L-shaped molecular structure. tRNAs have two regions of fundamental functional importance: the anti-codon, which is responsible for specific mRNA codon recognition, and the 3' end, to which the tRNAs corresponding amino acid is attached (by aminoacyl-tRNA synthetases). tRNAs cope with the degeneracy of the genetic code in two manners: having more than one tRNA (with a specific anti-codon) for a particular amino acid; and 'wobble' base-pairing, i.e. permitting non-standard base-pairing at the 3rd anti-codon position. Lineage: Eukaryota; Metazoa; Chordata; Mammalia; Rodentia; Muridae. The record is from Rfam by way of RNAcentral.